RNAcentral lists this ribosomal RNA (253 nucleotides) under uncultured bacterium. RNAcentral describes it as "partial 16S ribosomal RNA". It matches the Rfam family "Bacterial small subunit ribosomal RNA", at positions 524 to 776 of the family's 1533-position model. The record is from RNAcentral.
UACGUAGGGGGCGAGCGUUAUCCGGAAUAAUUGGGCGUAAAGCGCAUGCAGGCUGCCAGCCAAGUUCAUGCUGACAAUUCCCGGCUUAACCGGGAAAGGAGUGUGAAUACUAGUUGACUUGAGAGCGAGAGAGGGACACGGAAUUCCAGGUGGAGCAGUGAAAUGCGUAGAGAUCUGGAAGAACACCAAGGGCGAAGGCAGUGUCCUGGCUCGUUUCUGACGCUCAGAUGCGAAAGCCAGGGGAGCGAACGGG